AAAUUGAAGAGUUUGAUCAUGGCUCAGAUUGAACGCUGGCGGCAGGCCUAACACAUGCAAGUCGAGCGGUAGCACAGAGAGCUUGCUCUCGGGUGACGAGCGGCGGACGGGUGAGUAAUGUCUGGGAAACUGCCUGAUGGAGGGGGAUAACUACUGGAAACGGUAGCUAAUACCGCAUAAUGUCGCAAGACCAAAGUGGGGACCUUCGGGCCUCAUGCCAUCAGAUGUGCCCAGAUGGGAUUAGCUAGUAGGUGGGGUAACGGCUCACCUAGGCGACGAUCCCUAGCUGGUCUGAGAGGAUGACCAGCCACACUGGAACUGAGACACGGUCCAGACUCCUACGGGAGGCAGCAGUGGGGAAUAUUGCACAAUGGGCGCAAGCCUGAUGCAGCCAUGCCGCGUGUGUGAAGAAGGCCUUCGGGUUGUAAAGCACUUUCAGCGGGGAGGAAGGCGUUAAGGUUAAUAACCUUGGCGAUUGACGUUACCCGCAGAAGAAGCACCGGCUAACUCCGUGCCAGCAGCCGCGGUAAUACGGAGGGUGCAAGCGUUAAUCGGAAUUACUGGGCGUAAAGCGCACGCAGGCGGUCUGUCAAGUCGGAUGUGAAAUCCCCGGGCUCAACCUGGGAACUGCAUUCGAAACUGGCAGGCUAGAGUCUUGUAGAGGGGGUAGAAUUCCAGGUGUAGCGGUGAAAUGCGUAGAGAUCUGGAGGAAUACCGGUGGCGAAGGCGGCCCCCUGGACAAAGACUGACGCUCAGGUGCGAAAGCGUGGGGAGCAAACAGGAUUAGAUACCCUGGUAGUCCACGCCGUAAACGAUGUCGAUUUGGAGGUUGUGCCCUUGAGGCGUGGCUUCCGGAGCUAACGCGUUAAAUCGACCGCCUGGGGAGUACGGCCGCAAGGUUAAAACUCAAAUGAAUUGACGGGGCCCGCACAAGCGGUGGAGCAUGUGGUUUAAUUCGAUGCAACGCGAAGAACCUUACCUGGUCUUGACAUCCACAGAACUUUCCAGAGAUGGAUUGGUGCCUUCGGGAACUGUGAGACAGGUGCUGCAUGGCUGUCGUCAGCUCGUGUUGUGAAAUGUUGGGUUAAGUCCCGCAACGAGCGCAACCCUUAUCCUUUGUUGCCAGCGGUUAGGCCGGGAACUCAAAGGAGACUGCCAGUGAUAAACUGGAGGAAGGUGGGGAUGACGUCAAGUCAUCAUGGCCCUUACGACCAGGGCUACACACGUGCUACAAUGGCAUAUACAAAGAGAAGCGACCUCGCGAGAGCAAGCGGACCUCAUAAAGUAUGUCGUAGUCCGGAUUGGAGUCUGCAACUCGACUCCAUGAAGUCGGAAUCGCUAGUAAUCGUAGAUCAGAAUGCUACGGUGAAUACGUUCCCGGGCCUUGUACACACCGCCCGUCACACCAUGGGAGUGGGUUGCAAAAGAAGUAGGUAGCUUAACCUUCGGGAGGGCGCUUACCACUUUGUGAUUCAUGACUGGGGUGAAGUCGUAACAAGGUAACCGUAGGGGAACCUGCGGUUGGAUCACCUCCUUA
RNAcentral lists this ribosomal RNA (1537 nucleotides) under Klebsiella pneumoniae. Its description in RNAcentral is "bacterial SSU rRNA". It matches the Rfam family "Bacterial small subunit ribosomal RNA". Lineage: Bacteria; Pseudomonadati; Pseudomonadota; Gammaproteobacteria; Enterobacterales; Enterobacteriaceae. The record is from RNAcentral.